Molecule: ribosomal RNA, 292 nt
Filed under: uncultured bacterium
Lineage: Bacteria
Description: partial 16S ribosomal RNA
Rfam family: Bacterial small subunit ribosomal RNA
Source: RNAcentral
GUGUCAGCAGCCGCGGUAAUACGUAGGGACCAAGCGUUGUUCGGAUUUACUGGGCGUAAAGGGCGCGUAGGCGGCAUGACAAGUCACUUGUGAAAUCUCCGGGCUUAACUCGGAACGGCCAAGUGAUACUGUCGCGCUAGAGUGCGGAAGGGGCAAUCGGAAUUCUUGGUGUAGCGGUGAAAUGCGUAGAUAUCAAGAGGAACACCUGAGGUGAAGACGGGUUGCUGGGCCGACACUGACGCUGAUGCGCGAAAGCCAGGGGAGCAAACGGGAUUAGAAACCCCGGUAGUCC